This is a long non-coding RNA of Oncorhynchus tshawytscha (Chinook salmon), 3679 nucleotides long. NCBI's taxonomy places the organism in Eukaryota, Metazoa, Chordata, Actinopteri, Salmoniformes, Salmonidae. The record is from Ensembl.
GGAGGAAGGUAGGGAGGGAGGUAGGAAGGGAGGGAGGGAGGGAGGAAAAACAAUGAAGGAGAAGGGAAGGGAAGAUACUGUAUUUGGAGAACAAGAUGAGCGACGGCAGGAGAUUAACGUGGUGAAGUGUUGAUCAGUUGAUUGAGAGAAUAAUACAAGGAAAAGCAAGAAAGAAGACAUCUAUGCUUUUAGUCUGGAGUCUUAACUCAGUCCUAAACUACAUCUAUGCUUUUAGUCUGGAGUCUUAACUCAGUCCUAAACUACAUCUAUGCUUUUAGUCUGGAGUCUUAACUCAGUCCUAAACUACAUCUAUGCUUUUAGUCUGGAGUCUUAACUCAGUCCUAAACUACAAUACUUAACUACAUCUAUGCUUUUAGUCUGGAGUCUUAACUCAGUCCUAAACUACAAUACUUAACUACAUCUAUGCUUUUAGUCUGGAGUCUUAACUCAGUCCUAAACUACAAUACUUAACUACAUCUAUGCUUUUAGUCUGGAGUCUUAACUCAGUCCUAAACUACAAUACUUAACUACAUCUAUGCUUUUAGUCUGGAGUCUUAACUCAGUCCUAAACUACAUCUAUGCUUUUAGUCUGGAGUCUUAACUCAGUCCUAAACUACAAUUACUUAACUACAUCUAUGCUUUUAGUCUGGAGUCUUAACUCAGUCCUAAACUACAAUACUUAACUACAUCUAUGCUUUUAGUCUGGAGUCUUAACCCUGUCCUAAACUACAAUACUUAACUACAUCUAUGCUUUUAGUCUGGAGUCUUAACCCUGUCCUAAACUACAAUACUUAACUACAUCUAUGCUUUUAGUCUGGAGUCUUAACCCUGUCCUAAACUACAACUCUCACCUUAAAAACUACAGUACUUAACUAUCAGGAGGAAGCGAGGGUACAUUGCUACAAUAUAAUCUUGGUUAUCAUUUUGGAAUAUUAUCAGUAAAAAUGUAUGUUGCUUUCAAUAUGGUUCUAAUUUAAAGCACUUUUGUUGUAAUGUGUAUUUGAGUGUGUGUUUUGAGUGUGUGUUUUGAGUGUGUGUUUUGAGUGUGUGUGAGCGUAUUGAAAAUAAUAAGCUUGGUACGAAAACCAAUAGAGAAAACCAAUAGAAAACCAAUAGAGAAAACCAAUAGAAAACCAAUAGAGAAAACCAAUAGAGAAAACCAAUAGAGAAAACCAAUAGAAAACCAAUAGAAAACCAAUAGAGAAAACCAAUGGAGAAAACCAAUAGAAAACCAAUAGAGAAAACCCAUAGAGAAAACCAAUAGAAAACCAAUAGAAAACCAAUAGAGAAAACCAAUAGAAAACCAAUAGAGAAAACCAAUAGAGAAAACCAAUAGAAAACCAAUAGAGAAAACCAAUAGCAAACCAAUAGAAAACCAAUACAGAAAACCAAUAGAAAACCAAUAGAGAAAACCAAUAGAAAACCAAUAGAGAAAACCAAUAGAAAACCAAUAGAGAAAACCAAUAGAAAACCAAUAGAGAAAACCAAUAGAAAACCAAUAGAGAAAACCAAUAGAGAAAACCAAUAGAAAACCAAUAGAGAAAACCAAUAGAAAACCAAUAGAGAAAACCAAUAGAAAACCAAUAGAAAACCAAUAGAAAACCAAUAGAGAAAACCAAUAGAAAACCAAUAGAGAAAACCAAUAGAGAAAACCAAUAGAAAACCAAUAGAAAACCAAUAGAGAAAACCAAUAGAAAACCAAUAGAGAAAACCAAUAGAGAAAACCAAUAGAAAACCAAUAGAAAACCAAUAGAGAAAACCAAUAGAAAACCAAGAGAAAACCAAUAGAAAAACCAAUAGAAAACCAAUAGAGAAAACCAAUAGAGAAAACCAAUAGAAAACCAAUAGAGAAAACCAAUAGAGAAAACCAAUAGAGAAAACCAAUAGAAAACCAAUAGAGAAAACCAAUAGAGAAAACCAAUAGAGAAAACCAAUAGAAAACCAAUAGAGAAAACCAAUAGAGAAAACCAAUAGAAAACCAAUAGAGAAAACCAAUAGAUGCUUCACACAUAUUGUAACAAUUAGCGUUGCCAAAGUCUGCAUUAUGUACGCGUCAAGAGUUUUCUUUUGUACUUGGCACUUUAUCUCCUUCUGACGCUCUUAUCCAUAUUUAACUCCUGUGUUACUUUCUCCAUUUUUUUUGUUAUUUUAAUAUACAAAACAGCUAUACAAAAUGAUCUUCUAAUGAGUAUUAUAACAGUAACUAUGUCAGGAAAUUGAAGCGUUUUCAUUUUGUAUUUUCUUUUGUAAUUUUGUGUUUGUUUUUUUAUCGUUGUUGUUAUUGAUGGUCACUCUACUUCCUGGAGAGAGAAAAAAAAAUCCUCCCCACAAACUUCCUGUUUCCUGUGGGCAUAUCUCAGGGACCCCACCCCUUCCCCCCCCAAAAAAAAACCAGGAAGUUGGCCUUAUUUGUUUGUUCUCUUCUGUUUGUUGUUGUUGAAAGGUCAGUGAGAAGUGUCAUAGUAGUGCUUUUAGAAGCGUUGUAAUGAUUCUCUGAUGUUCCAUCCAGACCAAAGUAUAUAUUAUAUUCAUCUCCCGUUAAUAGAACACAGCCCACACGCUAGAACACUCUAGAACCAACCAUUCCAAGCCAUGUUCCCUUUUCCAAGCCCACAAAGACAUUUUGGAUGUACAUUUUACUCCAAGCCUGUUGGUGGCAGUCUCCACAAGAUUGGUGGUCCUGUCCAUAAACUUCCCACAACAAUGUAACGUUCAGUUACAAAGUUAUAUCAAAACCCUGUUUUCUAAUCAGUCAGUUUGUAUGUAGCUACUUCUUGAGUUAUAUCAUUCUCAGUUUUGUUGAUGUGCUGCAGAGUUGUUGGUUUUUACGGUCGUUAAGCACUGGCGUUCCGGUUUCACACCUUCUUUUAGUGUCCUCCAUCCCCUAGACAACACACCUGACAGUUCCCAUAGCAACUCUCAGUUCACAAUUCAAGCGCUACAAAGAAGUUCUUAAAUCCAAAGAAAACAAUGAAGAGCAGGUUCUCCCAUUUCUCCUGAGUAUAUAUAUAUAUAUAUAUCGGCCCGGUUUUUACUGUGUGUAACUACAUCGUGCCAAAGCUAGUCCCUUCUGCAUGUUUAGUAUUUUGUCUUGGUGUAACACGUACUUUGUCCUACAUUUGCAUGUUGAAACAAAAGUGUUGUGGUCUGUUUUGUAUCGUUGUAUUGUAUCAUGCGCCUGUAGCAUUUCUCCUGCUUUUGCACUUGACAAAGUCGAAUAAAGAGUUUGACAGCUAUGAGAGCAGGUAUCCGUCUUGUGGGAGACUAAUUGUUCACCUAGGACAUUUUCACUAUCAAAAUACCCAUAAAGACGGGUCGUCCAUGAGACCUUGGCCAGUUGUCCACAAAGUACUGAUCUUCCUGACCACCUCUGGCGGCAGUAGGGGACGAAUGGAUUGGAUGACGAAAGCUCAGUGGGUGGGGCUUACAGUUACAACAGCUGGUGAAGUAUACAGGUGAGUCAAAUUGACUUUGGCAGCGAUUACAGCCUCGAGUCUUCUUUUGUAUGACGCUAUAAGCUCGGCACACCUAUAUUUGGGGAGUUUCUCCCAUUCUUCUCUGCAGAUCCUCUCAAGCUGUCAGGUUGGAUGGGGAGCAUCGCUGCACAGCUAUUUUCAGGUUUCUCCAGAGAUGUUCGAUCGGGUUCAAGUCUAAAAGACAUUCAGAGACUUGUCCCGAA